Jatropha curcas is the source of this 693-nucleotide non-coding RNA. Lineage: Eukaryota; Viridiplantae; Streptophyta; Magnoliopsida; Malpighiales; Euphorbiaceae. The record is from RefSeq and is a predicted model, not a curated record.
GAGAAAAGUAAAAGAGCUCCCCUCAGCCAAUAAGGAGGGACGAUCAUGGAUAGAGCUGCCAUCUCAUGCAUUGUGGCAAUACUUGAGAUUUGAUAAAGGAAAAGUUAAUUAAUGUCAAGUUUGGCCAAGUGCAUGGUAUGGGAGCAACUCCUCCUAUGCUUUUCCCACCCAUUGGACUGAAGGGAGCUCCUUUCUCUCUCUCUAUCUCAGCUUUAAUCUUAUCAUCUUAAAACCAUGAUCAAAAGGGCAGAAGCGAAUCGUGGACGAUGAGCCAUAUGUAAACAACUGCAUACAAAUUUUAACUAUAAAUUCUGGUUUUGCUCCUGACAUAUGUAUUGGAAAAGAGAGAGGGCUACUCCUGCAAAGAAAGAAUAGUGAAAAUUUUCGCUCAGUCAGGAUAAAAGAGUACAAAAAGCUCCUUCAAGGAUCAAUUGUUUCCUUGCCUGGAAUGAGAUAUUUUUAGCGGUUCGCUUUCUGUAUUGUUUUUGCACUUAAAAGAGUAAAUUGUUGUACAUGGACUUACCUACCUGAUGAUGAUUAUUAUUUACUUUGAUGUCAUUAAGCAGCUUGGAGCUGUGUCUAUAAACCAACUACUAAAUGAAAUUCCAUACACCAUUUUCCACGUGAAGAGGCAGACAUGUGACUUGCUAAAAUAUCAAUCAAACUACGUUCCAAGUUUUUAUCCUGUUUUCA